CACGAACGCUGGCGGCAUGCCUAACACAUGCAAGUCGAACGAUUGCCUUCGGGUGAUAGUGGCGCACGGGUGCGUAACGCGUGGGAAUCUGCCCUUAGGUUCGGAAUAACAGCUGGAAACGGCUGCUAAUACAGGAUGUUAUCGCGAGAUCCAAGAUUUAUCGCAUGAGGAUGAGCCUGCGUUGGGUUAGGCAGUGGGUGGGGUAAAGGCCUACCAGGCCGACGAUCCAUAGCUGGUCUGAGAGGAUGAUCAGCCACACUGGGACUGAGACACGGCCCAGACUCCUACGGGAGGCAGCAGUGGGGAAUAUUGGACAAGGGGCGCAAGCCUGAUCCAGCAAUGCCGCGUGAGUGAUGAAGGCCCUAGGGUUGUAAAGCUCUUUUACCCGGGAAGAUAAUGACUGUACCGGGAGAAUAAGCCCCGGCUAACUCCGUG
This 435-nucleotide ribosomal RNA is filed under the name uncultured bacterium. Its description in RNAcentral is "partial 16S ribosomal RNA". It matches the Rfam family "Bacterial small subunit ribosomal RNA", at positions 29 to 507 of the family's 1533-position model. The record is from RNAcentral.